Molecule: microRNA, 19 nt
Filed under: Chiloscyllium plagiosum (whitespotted bambooshark)
Lineage: Eukaryota; Metazoa; Chordata; Chondrichthyes; Orectolobiformes; Hemiscylliidae
Description: microRNA PC-5p-262869_2
Source: RNAcentral
AAAAAAUCUGUCAGUCUCA